GGGCCCGCACAAGCAGUGGAGCAUGUGGUUUAAUUCGACGCAACGCGAAGAACCUUACCUAGGCUUGAAACGCAAGCUAAACCUGAUGAAAGUCGGGGUGCCGCAAGGCGAGCUUGUACAGGUGCUGCAUGGCUGUCGUCAGCUCGUGCCGUGAGGUGUUGGGUUAAGUCCCGCAACGAGCGCAACCCUCGUUUUUAGUUGCCACCAGGUAAUGCUGAGCACUCUAAAAAGACUGCCUACGCAAGUAGUGAGGAAGGUGGGGAUGACGUCAAGUCCGCAUGGCCCUUACGCCUAGGGCCACACACGUGCUACAAUGGCCAUUACAAAGGGCUGCAAUACCGCGAGGUGGAGCCAAUCCCUAAAAAAUGGUCUCAGUUCGGAUUGGAGUCUGCAACUCGACUCCAUGAAGCUGGAAUUGCUAGUAAUCGCGCAUCAGCACGGCGCGGUGAAUACGUUCCCGGGCCUU
This 466-nucleotide ribosomal RNA is filed under the name uncultured bacterium. Its description in RNAcentral is "bacterial SSU rRNA". It matches the Rfam family "Bacterial small subunit ribosomal RNA", at positions 917 to 1382 of the family's 1533-position model. The record is from RNAcentral.